Cinara cedri is the source of this 270-nucleotide non-coding RNA. Lineage: Eukaryota; Metazoa; Arthropoda; Insecta; Hemiptera; Aphididae. The record is from the annotation of a GenBank genome assembly.
GCUUUGCAGCACCGCCGAAACACUAUAGCGUUUUAAGUGUUGUAACGAAAACCCGCGUUUCCGGAAAAAUUGCCUAGCUUAAAUAUUUUACGCACUGUAAUUCAAAAAGUAUAUUGUAUAAUAUAGUUCAGAGGUGUUCUCGGGAUUUUUUAUAGGGGGAGGAGAAAUGAAAAUGUAUCGAAGAGUAAGCCCGUGGUAUAGUCGGACUCUAAACUGUUGUUAUUCAUAAAUACGAUUUUCUAUUUAAAAAUGGGAGAUGGAAGGUUGGGG